RNAcentral lists this ribosomal RNA (252 nucleotides) under uncultured bacterium. Its description in RNAcentral is "partial 16S ribosomal RNA". It matches the Rfam family "Bacterial small subunit ribosomal RNA", at positions 524 to 773 of the family's 1533-position model. The record is from RNAcentral.
UACGUAGGGUGCAAGCGUUUAAUCGGAAUUACUGGGCGUAAAGCGUGCGCAGGCGGUUAUGUAAGACAGAUGUGAAAUGCCCGGGCUUAACCUGGGAACUGCAUUUGUGACUGCAUGGCUAGAGUUUGGCAGAGGGGGGGUAGAAUUCCACGUGUAGCAGUGAAAUGCGUAGAUAUGUGGAGGAACACCGAUGGCGAAGGCAGCCCCCUGGGUCAAGACUGACGCUCAUGCACGAAAGCGUGGGGAGCAAAC